CCCAAGCUUAAGCACUGCCGAGCUAUGUUUAACUUCACAUGCUAAAAGCUUCUUACCCUCUUUGCUGAAGAGGAACAUGUCCUGCAGGAAGCCCAGUGAGUCUCCAUUACUGCCUGCAAGUGCAGCCAAGUCGUCAUCAGACGUGGGAGGGUACGAUCCCCGGAACAUCGAAAGAGCCAUAAGACUACAUUCAGCUAUUACGAACAGAAGCUCCAAGAAAUUCACGGAACUGAUCGGUGAUGAAUGUCGAUAUUGUUUCGGUAGUCUUCCUCUCCAUCCUUUGGCGCUAUGUGAGAAAGCUCUUCAAAUGCUGCACUCUUUCAUGGUGCGGAACAGCAUCAUGUUGGUGAUGAAGCCGACGGCGGGCUAUGGAGUUGACAUUGGCUUUAGAUGGUUCUCAAAUCUUGCGAAGGACAACUUACCCUUGAGCUUUGGUUGCACCAUCUCUGCAGUUCAAGUGUACACGGGCAUAUUAC
Musa acuminata AAA Group (dessert banana) is the source of this 476-nucleotide long non-coding RNA. RefSeq lists it as uncharacterized. The record is from RefSeq and is a predicted model, not a curated record. NCBI's taxonomy places the organism in Eukaryota, Viridiplantae, Streptophyta, Magnoliopsida, Zingiberales, Musaceae. The transcript is spliced from 3 exons.